GGGCGGUAAUGCAACACAUUGGAUGCCAAGCACCGUUAAACCUCAGAAGAAGGGCUGAGAGGAGAGUGGAUCCAGAGUCCAAGAAUACGAGGAUGGAAGACAUCAGCUGUCACCCAGCAAAUACAAGUGAGAGCACAUCAUUGCAAAAAUAAACAAGACCCAUACAAUGUUCCUUUCUUCCCAUGAGGACAGAACAGAUUCAUGUCAAACAGGACGCCCUCGGUCAACAAGGCUUUCUGCUUCAGCUAUUCAGAAUUAAGGUUAAGAGCAGCUCUGAGAUCGCCCAACAAGAUAUGACUAUCUGUCUCUAAAGACUUGAAGAUAGGAGUUGUUUGGUGCUCUGUUCCACCUUCACCAAAAGCUAUAUUGUUGCAUCUGUUAUUUUGGUCAAUAAAUCUUGAUUACUUUGA
This is a long non-coding RNA of Oncorhynchus keta (chum salmon), 410 nucleotides long. RefSeq lists it as uncharacterized. The transcript is spliced from 3 exons. The record is from RefSeq and is a predicted model, not a curated record. NCBI's taxonomy places the organism in Eukaryota, Metazoa, Chordata, Actinopteri, Salmoniformes, Salmonidae.